Long non-coding RNA from Hippoglossus stenolepis (Pacific halibut), 2028 nucleotides. RefSeq lists it as uncharacterized. The record is from RefSeq and is a predicted model, not a curated record. Lineage: Eukaryota; Metazoa; Chordata; Actinopteri; Pleuronectiformes; Pleuronectidae. The transcript has 5 exons.
CCUCAGAUCCAGUGUCUCCGGUUAAUGGGACAGUGGACUUACUCUCCAAUAGCUCCGACUCCUGUAACCUCACAGUGACCUGCAGCACACAGGACUCCCAUCACAUCAUCAGCACUUUUAGAUGUGAGGCCAACACCUGCAGCCAGGAGGAGGGAGGAGAGAGGUCCAAGGUCACGACCUCCGGCACCUCCCUCCGUGUCUACCUGUCCAAAGGCUUCUCAGUUAUCUGUAACCAUAGCAACCAGGUCAGCUCGGACGAGCACAUAACAAUGAUUAGGGACUUUUGUUUCUCAAAUCCUGCCCCUGUCCCACUGAACUAUAUCAUUAUCGCCUUUGUCACAGUCACUGUGGUUUUGGUGAUAAUUGCCAUACCAGCAGCUUUUGUUCAACAUCGAAAAAACGGAAAACAUGAAACGAAGGAAAUGAAAAAUACACUGUACGAAACUGUUCAGCACUACGUGUGCCUCGCUGCUCGUGCUGCUUGCUUGUGCUCGAACAAAACACUUUGCUGCGGAUCAGAGGCGAAUUUCCAGCUGCACCGUGCUGCAUUCAUCCAAACAUCCCUCUGAGGUCAAAAGCGUGAACCCACUUGUGGAUCAGAAUCCAACUGAUGAUGCUGCAGCUCCUUCUCCGUCCUCCAUCUACAGCGUGAUCGAAGCAGGUCCAUGAAAUCCACUGAGGCCGGAGACACGACUCAGCCUGAGAGCCUGUAUGCUCAGGUGGACAAGUCGGCCCUGGCCUGAAGAAAAUCUGAAAUUGUCUUCCACAUUCUGCCUUUUGGACAAUUUCCAGUAUUAUUGUUGCCGUGAGUCAUGUUAUAUUUUCCCUGGGAAGUUUUUUUUUUUCAUCCAGAACCAGGAGCAUCUGGAACAGCUCCGCCCACUUUAAAACUGUUAUUGUAAUAUAUUUCAUAUCUUAUUGAAAAAGAUACCUGAUGAGUGUUUGACAUUUUGGAUGAAUUCCGAAGUGAUUUUGCUGCUACAUUAUUUUUGAUGAAAAAAAAAGUUCUUACUUCACCAAAGUGUUAUGCUUCCUUUAAAAAAAAUACUAAUAUGAUGACGAGGAAGGUUUAACAGCCAACAACCAGGAAUGAUUCCAAACAGCAGACAUUUCCUGUCGGCUUUCUGUCUUGUUUGUAUAAAAACCUUCCUUUUACACUACUCAUGCACAACAGUGUUUAUUCAACUCCUAUAGAGUCAAAUACAAAACUUCCAAGUGUUUGUAUAGGUCCAACCUGUAGGGAGUUAAAACUACACUUUUGAAAGUUUUAAAGAAUUAACACUCAGACAGAGUUCCAGCAACUCUCUCUAUAGUUGAAAUUUAACACCGGUCAACACUGGCCAGUGUUAAAUUGAAGCAACACUAUUGUGCAGUGUCCAAAGUUAACACCACAAGUAUGAUUUUUUUUAACACUAGAGUUAAAGUCAUAUUAACACUAUUGAGGAUGUAAAAUGUAACUCAAUAUUUAACUCUUUAUAGAGUUGAUUCAUAUUUUAAAAACACUGUAGGGAGUCGAUUUAUAAUCCCCAAUCCCACUUACUGUGUGAUAUUAUUCCUUUAAAAACUAUAACUAUUGUAACUGACAGAUUGAUUUAUUUGUGUUGGGUUUAUUUUGUAAUUUAUGUUCAAGUAUGUAUCCUGUUAUUUAAAUUAGUAAUUUGUUGUCCUUUUAAACGUAGCGACUCACGCCAGGGGCUGUUACAACUAUAUACAAGAAAGAAAGAAAGAAUCAGCAAUUCAAAGAAGUUUGCAGUUAACAUGAAACUGUAUUUGUGUAAGCACACCACAUAACACAGCAUUGGCUUUACAUCUUUUCCCAUCAGUCCUCAAAAGCAAAGUUCACACAAUAUGGCAAUGUGGCAAUAUGUAUGUUUUUUCAUCCAUCUCAUUAGAAAACUGUUUGUCAUAGGGUCUGUAAUAGAUUAAAUCCUCCAAAGAAAUUACAGAAAAUGAAUCAGUUCUCUCCUCAACACAGUAUGCAUUAAAGUGGUCAUCAAAAUAAAGUGUGUCAACUUUGCAAGUCAAAAA